UAAUGUGGGAUAAAUACCACACAAGUUCCAAUAUUGACCAAGUCCCUCGCUGAUUAGUUGCUUACUAGGUGAACGAGACUCUUUAGAUAAUAUCUAAACCGAUCCCACUCAUAGUGGCACAGGAUCAAUAAAAUGUGUAGCAACACAUUCUUUCAUAACUUUUCCAACACGAGUGUAGCCAUCUUCUCCUUUGUAAAGCAGAUCAACUACUUUUGUCAAGUUAAGAACACGCAGAAGCACAGGCAUUGGAACAGCAGUUGGCCUUAGAAACUCUUCGUUUAUAUCCUUCCAGUAAUCCACAACCUGCUUGUUAAACACCUCGAUCACCUCUUCCUCUGAGACCCCAUGUUGUUUCAUGUAGCAAUCGAUACUCGAAGCAACAUGACCUCGCUCUUUCUCAAACUGUGAUUACAGAGCUUCAAAUUAGUAUAACAUUCAACUUUUACCAGUUAAAGGGCCAGUUUUGGUACCUUGGUGGUGACAAUGUCGUCCAUGAGUCGAAAAAGUGUUGUGGAAGCUAUGACGAUUUUAGGAUCAUUGAACAGCCAUUGAAAUGUCUCCUCUGUUACAAUAUCCCCCAUGCCAACCAAGGAUACAGUUGCAAGCAUAGGAUAACCAGUUGAAAAUAUUGCAGAACGUAAAUACUCCUCCACGGUUGGGAUUCGCUCGUCUUUGAACCAUUUGGCCUCUUCAAAGUAUGCUCGAGCCACACCUUUCAACUAGAAAGAUAAUAUGUUACAUAAUAAUGUUUCCAAUAUAUACGGUAAAUGAUCAUGCGCUGCAAAAUCAAAUUAUUUGAAUAAUUUUGGAUCUGUGUAAUACAUACUGAUUCCUUAACAUAAUAAACUCGGUAUGAUUUUCCUUCCUUUGCCAAUUCUUCCUCAAUUUCACUGACCACAUUCAAAAGUGCACUAUAAAAUAUUUGCAUAUAGUCUGGGAGGUCAUCCAUGCAUUUGAUAUCCCACCUGAGAUUUGCAUAUAUAACAAACCGGUUAUAAUCAAUUGAAGGGCAUAUCAAAGAGGUUUGGAUUGUAACAAAUUUAACCUCUCCAUAGCUGCAGUAAAGAUAUCCAAUUCUUCAAAGGUAGCAAAUGCAUCGUAGAUAUCAUCCAUUACUGAUACCAGCGCAAUCACUUUUGUAAGAAUUUUUCGAGCAGAAGAGUAGUGGGGUUCAAAGUAAACUCCCACUAUCCAGAAGUACAACUCCACCAUCCUAUCUCUUGCAAAUGACAGCUUCCUUGCAAAGUCUAGCUCCUUCCACCACCUAUGCAAGCAAUAUUGUGUUAAUAAUCAGCUCAUACAUAACUCCACUCGUUGCUACUUACGUAGUUCUUCACUUACAAAUUAACUUACUUGGUGAUCUCACUGAGCUCCUCUUUGUGCAAAGACUGAACAAGAUUGAAAUCCAACUUAGCAAGUUUCAGCAAAGCUUCAUUGUGUGAAGCUUCGUUUUGGUAUAUUGACAUGUAACGCCUAGCACAAACCCUCUCGAGAUCUUUCCGGAGAGGUCUAUGUAAGGCCUGAGUUACUUGCGCUGCCAGUGGGUAGCUUACACCAGUUGUUACUUUCUCAAGGUUAGUGGUGGUGAAAACAACAGCCUCAUCUAGUAUCUCUUCUCCCCGCACCCUAAGAUGUGCUGCUUCAUACAAGCUUAGCAUACCCGGCACAUCAUCGAUUAAGCAUUCGUUGAAGCUACCAUUUGCAUCCUUGAACUUGUUGAAUAUAUCUGCUCAAAUAUGUCAAGGAGGCGAGCAUAAAAAUGAAUUUAUGGUUGGCGAAAAAAAAAACAUACAUUUCUUUACAUACAAAAUUACAUACCACAUGAAACAUUGUAUCCAUGCUGCCUGAGUAGCCGAAAACCAAGAGAAACAUUGUAUAGGUCACCAUCAUAGUCAUGAUAUUUAGCAUGCGUAUUGUCACGAGCUUCCUUUUUUCCUAAGUUACUCGUGCGGCUUUAGCACUUCCCUUAUGCUAAGUCAGCCUUACUCACGCAAACACUUUGGCUAGAACACUCGAACGAAGGGAGAAGAUCUUUGAAAGAGAGAACUUGUAUUAAGCUUUAAGAGAACUUUACAAAACUUUACAAGUGAGCUUGACUGUUAUCCAACUCUCUAUGCCUCAAAUGGGAGGGGUGCCUUCCUAUUUAUAGGCAUCAUCCCCCCUUGCCUAAGGUUCUAGAUAAUUCUAGGACAUUUACAAAUAUAGAGGUUUCUAGAGUUUUCUAUACAACUCUAAGUGUUGCCUUGAGUAUUCUAGAGACUUCCGGAGUAGCCUUGAGCCUUUAGCCUCUCUAGGGUUCUAGAGAGUUCCGGAGUGUCCUAGAGACUCUCUAAGGUUCUAGAGAGUUCUAGAGUUGUCUGCAUGCUUCCCGAUCCUUCCGGAAGCUUCUAAGACCUUCCAUAAUAUUCUAGAUGCUUCCAGGACCUUCCAUAAUGUUCCGGAUGCUUCUAGAAUGCUCAUGUGCUCUCCAAAACCUUCCUUGAGCCAUGCUUGCAUCAAAACGCUCAAGAAAGCUCCUUGUUAAUAGGCAGGGCGUGACAGUAUGCUCUAGGGUUUCUUCUAUUUCAGUUUCGAAAUGGUAAGCCACACCAAGGCACUGGAUCGCAUCGAUUAACUUCAGUUGAUGUGAAAAAUCAGUUGCCUGAUUUUUGAAUACUUCUCUCUUUACUACUGCUUUCAGCUCCUCAACUUGUUGUUGCCUAAGGACACGAGUUAUCUGCAGCAAAAACAACACAUGCAAUUUAGCACCAUCAAAGAUUCAAAAUAUAGAUAUAUGUGUGUAUAUAUAUAUAUAUAAAUAUUUAUAUAUAUAUAUAAUAUGCUAUAUCAUUACGUACGUUGUCUUCGGAAUCGCAUUUGAUGAAACGAUCUCCCCAAAUACUAGGGUGAUAAUUUGCCGUCCUGUGAACAAUUUCAGGCUUAGCAUUUGGUGUCACAAUAGCUGCUUGGAAAGACAUGAUGAUUUAGUUUCUGUAUAUAUGCUUUGAGCUUUGCUCUGCUAAGCUUUUGUAUAUAUAGCCAUGGAUCGAUAUUGGCAAGGGGAGAUGAUUAAAGUUGGAAAUAGUUCUACUGUAUAUCUUGGAUGACAAAUCUGACAUAAAUAGGAUAGAUUCAUCCAAGGAGUAAAAUAUCGAUGAUCAUAAAAAUUUCGAUGGUUUGAAAAAAUGAAAUCUCGAUGGAUAUAUCGAGAUAAUAUCGAAUAUCGACGGAAAUUUUACUAAAUUUUAUCUAAAAGUUGUAUAUUUGACUAAAAAUAAACUAAAUGUAAAAUAUCAAAAAGAUAUGAAAAUCAAUAUCGAUUAUUAUAAAAACGAAAAUUUAAAAAAAUAAAGGAUAUUUUAAAUAUUUUACUCCGUGGAUUCAUCUGGAAAGAGGCAGACCAACUAACUGGGGCCAUUCCUGAUUUGGGAUUCAGCACAAACGUGUUCUCGUCAUUUUUCUUUCCAGAGUAGUAGUUGAAAAUCAAUCAAAUAUAAUUAACUAAUACUUUCCCAAUCGGUACAACAAGUCUGACUAGGGUAGACCAAUCAUGGAAAUAAAAGACAAAAAUUUAAGCGAUUUGCGCUUUCGCAUUGAUUUGGAUCUAACAGUAAACAUAGUAUUGAACUAAUAACGUGUACCAUGUGUUUCUCGUUAAUUCUCCUCUUCAACUUUCCGCUUACAGUUUACCUACUGGAAUGAAACGAGAGAUAUUGAUUACGAGGUAGUAAAAAUGUUCUGCAUUUACUAACACAUAAUAAAAGAAUGGAAAUGAUUUAGAAGGCACAUUAUCUUGGUUCCCGGGCUGGGUUCGCGAUCUAGGUUGUUUCUCUUUGUCAUGUCUGAGAACAGAUGGUGGAAGGAGGGGGGUUGGUUUCAACGCGGCAUGUUUCUCUCCUUGUGGUCGUGGACAUUGGUGGUGGCACGACGUUCUCAACGUUCAGAGGGGGUGGAGGUUGUCGAGUUGUGCUACCCGGGCUGCAUGAUCCUUGAGUUCCAAUCGGCUGGUGGUUGGGCCUAGUCCUAUUUAGGCCCAGGUUCGAUGGGUAUUUUAUAGGUUUUUUUUUUCUUUUUGUUUUUGGUUGUUUAGGUUUUUGGUGGUUGUUUUGGUUGGUUAGGUGUCCCUCUUUUAGCGAGGAUUUAGGGUUUUGGUAUGUUGGUAUCGGGUUGUGGGGUGUGUCAUGGUUAUGUUGUUGUUUUCAACGAUUAUUUUAACUUCAAUUAGUUCUUAUUGUCAAUGUAACGGGAAAGUUACCUGUUUUAGCCACAUCAGUAAAUCUGAGUAUGCAAAGUCUCUUUCAGUAGUUGUGGGCGUGCCACCGUGCGGACACGGAAAGUAGAGGUUGUAGUAGCGGGGUGCGCUUAGCCUUCUGCUUUUAAUCAAGUGACUGAGGAUGGAGAGAGCACCAACUCCACCGCAAGGUUCUUCAGAUUCGUCUUGCGUAUUGGGCAAGGACUUACAGUAGUCCGCCUGAGCGUCACAAUAUCGAUACUUGACGUAGGAUCGAGCAGAGCGUCAACUGGGAAGGAAGAAAAAAAAGACAAUGCUCCGGGGAGCGUACAGAGAAACGAAAGCAAAGCUCCGGGGAGCGUCUGGAAGUUCAAUUGUGUUGAGAGUUGUAUUGUAUUCACUACGUCUUUUUUGGCUUCAGACGACUUGGAUCAGACGACAGAAGACGUAUUUGCUGUCGUCUGAUACAUUUAGACGACACACAUUUAAAUAUAUGUCGUCUGAAUGUAGCAACUCACAGACAGCUUAAAUUAGCGUGUUCAUGAGAUGACAGACGUCUGUCGUCUUAAAACAACCCAAAAUUUGCAAUAUAAUGGUUUGAUCUAAGACGACACUCUUUUGUCGUCUUUAUAUUGACGUAAAUAUCUAAUAUUUUUUUGGUACAACGAAUGUCUUUUUUUGGACACUUUAUAGACCUAUCUUCCCGAUAAUUUGUUUGAAGUUCUCAAUUGAGUGAUUUUUCUCACAACUGAAACCUCUCUUCCUCUCUUCCUCACAAACCAAAUUCUCUCAUAUAUCUCAUUCUCAAACUGAUCGAAUCCUCUCUUCUAUAUCUAACCCUCAAACCAAUUCCUCUUAUCUUCGGAGACCCAUAUCUGAAAACCCCCAAUUUCAACCUCCCAAACCCUAAAAGCUCCAAACCCUCGCAAACCAUGUCCGCCGCCUAAACCACCACCCAGAAGAAGCGCGCAGCCGAGCCCGAGCUCAUCAAGUCGGCCAACCUCGAUCUCAACCUCUCCAUGUUCUUUUCCUCUAAUUCCUUCAUAUCUCUUGCUUUCGCUUACGGAAUCGGCUUUUGAUGUGUUCGAUUUGAAUUUUUUUGCAGUGAUAUCAAAGGAAUCAUGUCAGCGCUGCAACAGAUCCGAUAUAAGGCGCACAUGGACGACUUGAAGAUGAACGAAGAGGCCAUUUCCAAGUGAAAAUUCAAAACGUUUAGCUCUUGAUUUCACUAAAUCAGCUCAGAAAUUCAAAACUCUAUCUAUUUUUUGGAUUAUUUUUUGCUAAUAUAGUAUCAAAUUAGAAUUUGUGUUCACUUUUUCCCCUAGUUUUGAAGUUUCGUACUCAAAUUACAGAUUUCUUGUUUUUGUUUUUUUCCUUUCCCUGUGUUUAGAUUUUGAUUGAGUUGAUGAUGUUGAGUAACAUGAGUUCGUAAUUAUAGCUAGACAAUGAUCAUAUAAUGGGAUUGUUCAAUCUGAUAAAAAUAAUUUCAAAAGGCAUAAGUGCAUAACCUUCACCAUGAAAAUUUGAUGAUGUAGUUUCUAUUGUGGUCAAAUAACAUGUGUUUGGAGACCAUCCAACUCUAACAUACUAUAUCUCUCUAUCUAUCUCUCUAAAAUAUCUCUCUCUGGCUUCUAUAUAUAAAUGUUGGAGGAACAGCAAAUGAAGCUCUGAGGCAAAGGAAGAGAAUUGCUUGGCGUCUGUAACCAAUGAAUGUCAACAAAAAUUAUGUCUCUCUUCCAUCACUUUCUGCCAAUCCCCCUUUAGCCAUUUCAUUUUCUUUGUUUCUCUACCUUUAUUUAGCAGUCUCUUAGUUUCUUGUCUUAAUGCAGAUUCCAUCUCUGGUUUCAUGGUUGUCUCCAAUCAAGGUAAAAUCUAACACAGUCACUUUUCAAUUUUUUCUCUCUAUUUUCGCCUGUGGAUAUAAAAAACUCUUUCUUGCUUUCUCAGUUUGUUGUUUGAAUAUUAAAAUGAGAGUACUGUAAUGUAAUACAAAAUUGCAAAUUGAUUUGUUUAUUGAAGAAUUUUUGCUUUGUAUGUUUUCUUGUACUCUCUGUUAUUAGUUUCUACAUAUAUAUAUAUAUAUAUAUACACACACAUAUUGAGGUAUAUAUAAUGACUUGUAGUGAGGAACCAUGUUAAGAUUCUUGUAGAAAAAAUAGGAGAUAAUGUGUCCCUCUUUUAAUUGUAUAUAGGAUCUCAUUUCGUGCUUAUAAUGUGUGUGCAUGCUGGUGCCUUUUUGCUCAGCUGCAUUUUUAUGUGCAUUGUUAGUGUACUCGUAUAUCUUUACUUACUAUGUUAUUAAUAUGUUAUUAAUAGACUUGAGAAACUCCCCUAAAUUUCUGGAGAUGAUGAUAGUUUAUUUUAUUUUUGGUUUACAGGGUGCUGGUAAAUCAGCUGUUUUGAAAGCUUAAUCAGACUCCUUUUUAGGUAAGUACAAUUUACCAAUGUAUUUCAAUAUCCAAAUUAUAGCGGUUUUUAAUUUUAUUUUAUGGUUUCUUCCUCCAGCCAACUAGUGAGAAUGAUGCUACUCGAGCUCCAAUCAGCAUUGAUUUACAUAGGGGCAGCUCAUUGAGCAGCAAAUCAAUGAUAUUGCAGAUUGACAAUUAAUCCCAUCAAGUUUCUGCAAGUAAGUCACUUAAUGUAUGUUCUCAAUUUAAUUUAAUCAUGUUAUAGUGCUGUUUUUGUUUAGAAUCUUCUUAGAAUUUCAAGUCAAUACUACUGUGUUUUCACAUAUAGGGUUGUUUUGAUUUAGCUAUCAUUUAAACUCACUUCACAUCGUUCUUAAUGGAGUUUGUUUAUAGAUUAUUUCCAUGUCGAGCUGAAUCUUAAUUUAUUGUUUUGUAAAUACCAUCUUACAUUGCAAGUAUGUAAGAAUUAUAGCUGAAUUCCACUUUUCAUGAUUUAUAGUUUAUAUAAGGAUUUCAGGUGGUCCUAGUGAUAAGACUUGCAAUGCUUGAGAGGAGAACGCAGAUACUUUACAGAUACGUUGCAGGUGAUUACUUAGUAUUUUUUUAAAAGUAAACUAUUAAGCAUGAUUCUACCAUGCAGGUAAUGGACUCCAUGUACAUAUAUUGCACAUAUACCCAAAGGAUAAUGAUCAAACCCAAACCAAGGAUAAUGACCUCCUUUUUUGCAAGCAACCAAGGAAAAAAAAUCGAUAUUUUUGGCGAAAUAUCGCAGAAAAUUUCGUUUUUUCACACAGCGAAAUAUAUUUCUCACCCCAAAAUUUUUGGUCCGAAACUAUUGAUAUUUCGCGAUAUAUCGCUAUAUUUUCGAUAUCUGGCUGAAACUGUUGAAAUCACCCAAAAAAAUUUCCCAAAAGAGGCGACACCGCCGUCUGCUCCGCCGGCAGCCCAACUCCGGCCACCUCCAAUGCUCACUAAAAUUUGACACAAUCUUCCUCUCAACACGCACAACAACUUCCCUAACUAACACAAACACCAAUUCCAAGCCUAGAUAGGGUAAUCGAAUCAAAACAUUGAGCCCUAAAACUUCAACUCACCGAUUCUCCCUACUUAGAUCAAGAGGGAAUGAAACCUUUUAAGGUUUUGUUGUACUGGAGGAGAGCUUCCACACGAGACCAGCCGCGCCGUUUAUGGUGGCCGGAAAAGGCAGUUCCGACGACGACUCGGCCACUGUGCAGCCGCACCUUCUCGGUGCGAUUCAUCCCUCACGGCGACGCAACCCAACCAAUCACCUACCUAGACGUGAAGAGGAUGCUCCAAGCUUCAUUUCGACACCUAGCUCGCCCCCUAUCUCGGCCGGACGGAAGCGGACGGCGGUGAAGAAAAUCCGGCAGGGAGAGAGAGAGACUCGGGGAAGGAAGAAGAAGAGAGAGAGAGAAAAGAGAGUUUGGGCCUUCUCUCUCAAUUUUCCCAACCCAACUCCAAAAAUACCCAACACCAACAACAAUUCACCUUUUCACUAUCCAAAAAUACCCAACACCAACAGCACUAACCUUUUCACCUUUACUUACUACAACUCCCUAUAGAUCAAUGUUUAUUCAAGGUUUUCAUUUCAAAUAUAGUACAUAAUAUAGAAAACAAACAUCUCUUAAAGUUUGGUUUAAAAUUUCCUUGUUUUUCUUCAAAUUUCCGUCAAUUUUCUCAUUUUUUUACUGCAAUCGAUAUUUCCCCGAAAUUUUCAUAUUUUGGAGGGUCGAAAUUUCCGUAAUCACUGAAAUUUUCUUCCUUGCAUGCAACCAUAGUAAGCUCUUUGCACGCAAGUACUGCUAGCUUUUCGCAUGCAUACCUACUACGCAAGUCCUCCACCAAGCAAUUAAACACAGUUGACCAGUCAAUUUGGAUAACUUACGUUUCUUAUCCUUACGCGCGAAGUCCUUCUGUGCGAACUCAUACGCGAGCUCACCUCUUCGCAUGCAUCCAGUUCGCCAACAAUCCAUGUCUCAAUCUCCCACUCAUGCGAAGUCUCAUUGCAUGCGAACUUUGUCCAGCUCGCCCGCUAACUUCUGUCCAUAUAUGAGAAGGCCUGCAUGCGAACCACAUAUCUAGCUUGCAUGAAAUCAUAAGCGAGGUAACCCGCCUCUAAUCCCAACAUUAUUCGGGCUCGCCGAUGUGACAUGGACCAUGAAUUUAACCAAUAUUCACAUAGACAAUUACUGCCCAGUAAUAUUAAUUCUAGGUGUAAACAUUGCCCCCCAGCCUCGAAGUCAUGCUGCUCCAAAGCCACUGGUAUUGGCUCAGGUCAUACACAAAAAUGAGUGUGAGUAAACAAGCCACAGAAUAGGCCUUGAAACUCAAGUACCCAGCAACAAAGCACUGUAGCGAAGCUGCUGAAAUGAUUCAACUAAUACCAUAUUAAGCUGAUAAUCAUGAACUUAACAUAGCUAGGUACCUUGGACUUGAACUCAACAUGCGUUUCGCUUGCACUUCGCUUUCUCUACUCAGAAUACAUGGUACAUUGCACAUACCUCGAGUAGAUGUAUCUCUAAUGAAUGUAUCUUUAACUGAUGUACCUCGAGUGGAUAUAUUCGAAAAGGAAUCAUCUGACCUCGAAGGGAUGUAUCUCGCGAAGGGAUGUACCUUGAGUAGACGUUUGCUUUAACUGGAUUCAAAAUUGCCCUUCGCCUGAGCGCUUGACGAUGGCGAACCAUCUUUUUGACAUUGGCCAUGUACUUCGCUGCCCCCCAGUGCGAACCAAUAAGAGUCAAACAAAAAGACCAUGUCGGCGAACGGCCGCAUAAUCUUGAUUUUUUUUUUUGUAGAGGCCAUAGGCGUUGGCCUAAAUAAUGACCAAGACAUCUCAAGAAGGGUCUAAAGCCAGAAAUUUUUGACAUUGGCAUGUACUUCGCUGCCCCCCAAUGCGAACCAAUGAGAGUUAAACAAAAGGAUCAUGUCGGCGAACGGCCGCAUAAUCUUGAAAUUUUUUUUUGUUAGAGGCCACAUGUGUUGGCCUAAAUAAUGACCAAGCCAUCUCAAGAAUGGUCUAAAGUCUAAAAUAUUUGGAACACAUCUCUAUCCCAUAUGUGCCCCCUAGUUUUGAUGUCUGUUCGGUGAUACUUGAGAAUAAUGAAGGACAUCAAAACUUUAGUAUGUCCCCUAGUGAAGGAGUUGUAGUACCGUACAUCAUCAAAGUUAGCAAACAUUGAAAAAAUUUGUGGAUCGACCUUGAGUAGAUCCCGGUGUAUGAAUAAAGGUAUACAAAACUUAUAUGCCCCCAAUAAAGGAAAGCAUGCUGCAAGGUCAUGAAAACACAUUGCAAAUUCGCGCAUAUCCUGACCUGUCUGCAUUCAAACUGCCAUAACUCUCUCCAGGAAUGUCGGAAUGACGAACCGUAAAAUCCUAUAGAAACUAGACAUCCAGGGCUUUCUGUUGAUAUAAGGCUCGCCUGCUAGUUCUUCCUGGAUCAUUCCAGUUUAAUCUGCGAAGUUGACUGUCCAGUAGUGGCUGCUGCAACUUUCAGCAUUGCAAACAUUUCUUCAAUUCUCCUCUGACAUUGACUUCGCUGGCAGUAACUCCAAGGCAUGUGGAAUGCCUGUUGGCUUUAAGCCUUUGGGAUAGGCCCCUAAGUAAAGUUUAAGCCUUUUGUAGGCAAAAACGUUGUCUUGCAUUUCAGCAAAACUAAGGAUCUCUUUUUGUAUUUUCUGCUAUUUGAUUUUUUUUGUAUUUUCUUUUUUCAAUGCAAGAAAGAAAGAAAAAUGAAAGCAAACUGAAGUAAAGCUAAGAGUAAAGGAAAGAAGAGAGUACAACAUGGUUAGUUACCCUUCGUAAGGCUACGGGGGAGGCCACCAAUGCUUCACUCCAAGUCUCGACGAUGUUAUGUUUCUGGCAUGAGACUCUUGUUGUUGAGAAUUUCUAAAUGUUGAGCAGAGCUGUUUCGCGUCAAGAACUUGAAAAUUUGGGCAAGGUAGUUCGUAAAGUACAUCUCGUUGCCCCCCACAUAUCCUUGUCUUUUGACCAAACAGGAUCUUCGAUUGCAUUCUCGCGUACCAUAUGCUGUCGAGAUCAGCCUUGUUGCCAACUAUCAUGUCAUAAUACAUGGUCUUAUCAGGUAUAGCCACGCAUUGGUUAUGGAAGAGGACCAUAUUAGGAGCUUCACUGGUCCUAAACUCUUGCGGAGUAUGAUUAUCUGACAGACGGACCAACAUAUAGUCUACAUCAUAUUCAUCAUAAAUUGGCUCUGUGUCAAAAUCAAAUUCGGAGUCAUCACAACCCAACAAAUCCACCUUUGCCUCUGAUGCAGUCAUAUGAAAUCCAUGAGCAUCAUGUGUAGAUGCCGCCAAGUCCCUACUGCAGACUAGAGUGAGAUAGCACUGAGAAUACUCGACUUUACACCCAUGUAUAAUAAACUUGCAAUUCUAGGUGUAAAAACGUUUCCCACAUACAAUACUAAAGCCAUAAUUUGGCCUUUGAACUUGCAUGCAAAGACUCCAAAUAUAUUGGAAUGUGAAGCCACAGAUUGGCCUAGGUAUACCACCAUACCAUAUAUAAUUAAGCUUGUCAUGACUUGGGGCAGCUUCCUGAUAACGUCCAGUAAUUGGACAAAACUUGAGUUGAUCAUGCCCCUGAUCAUGGUGGUUAAUUAAAGAAUGAAGGCGAGCUACGCUUUGCCCCCCAUGCAUCUGACCUGUGUCCACAUAUACAUCUCGCAUAGGAAAGUUGGCUCCUUGGUCACCUUUCAUGUGAAAUUGUGGUUCGCCAUCAUCAGUGUUCGAACUAAUUUCUUCUUCUAAGAUGGAUUGUUCUGUCCUAUCUUCAAGCUCCUUUGUUUGAGGAACACCGUCAGUUUUUGAGAUAGGACUAUCAUCCAAAAUCUCGCCAGCCUCGACCUCAGGUUCUUCAUCAUUGAUUGACAAAAUAAUUUCUUCUUUGGACGUAGGUUCGUCCAAAGGAAAACCUUUGCCAUUAGAAUAGCUGCUAGGCAGUUCAAUCUUUUUGGCAAGGACAUGCUCGUCAACUGUAGGCCUUACAUUUUGGCAUUGUAAAGUCUUUUCGUUUUUUUCAGCAGCCUCAAGCUCACAAUGUCGCUUGAGGAUGGCAUCCCAUUUCUCUUUAUAAGCAACCCAUUCCUCUUUUUAACCGUGCCAAUCCAUUAUCGCCUCUUUGUUUCCGAUCUCCGAUCCCAAUGAAGGUAACGUCAGAGACUACCCUGGUCCCACUGGGCGUGCCAAUGUUUUGGCCACACUAGUAAGUCUGGGUAUGCAAAGUCUCUUUUAGUAGUUGCUGGCGUGACACCGCGUGGACGCCGAAAGUAGAGGUUGUAGUAGCGGGGUGCGCUUAGCCUUCUAGUUCUAAUCAAGCGACUAAGGAUGGAGAGAGCACCAACUCCACCGCAGGGUUCUUCAGAUUCGCCUUGCGUACUGGGCAAGGACUUUACAGUAGUUCGCUUGAGCAUCACAAUAUUGAUACUCAACGUAGGAUCGAGCAGAGCUUCAACUAGGAAGGAAGAAAAAAAAGACAAUGCUCCGGGGAGCGUAUAGAGAAACGAAAGUAAAGCUUCGGGGAGUGUCUGGAGGUUCAACUGUGUUGAGAGUUGUAUUGUAUUUUUGUUGAGUUGUUGAGUGUGUCUGUAGAAUAUCCUCGAACUCCUUUAUAUAGAGUUAUUUAGGGCCACAAGUAUUGGCCCAAAACAUGUCAAUGACUUGUAGAAGUCUUCAAUGUUAAUAUCGUAGGCAAUGAUACUAACCGCCUCUUGAUACGAUAAUAGAGAUGUACUGGACGUAAACGAUUCUUAGGCAGUUAUGUUUCCUAGCGAAUGAUAUUCCAUAGAGAUAAGCAUCCAUGUUAAUCCAUUAAGAAGUAGACUUUGUAAUUAGUCCAACUCCUCAGACUUCGCCAUGCACGUAUUGAUGAUCAAACCCAAACCAAGGAUAAUGACCUCCUUUUUCGCAUGCAACCAUAGUAAGCUCUUCGCACGCAAAUACUGCUAGCUUUUCGCAUGCAUACCUACUUCGCAAGUCCUCCACCAAGCAAUUAAACACAGUUAACUAGUCAAAUUGGAUAACUUACGUUUCUUAUCCUUACGCGCGAAGUCCUUCUGUGCGAACUCAUGCGCGAGCUCACCUCUUCGCAUGCAUCUAUUUCGCCAACAAUCCAUGUCUCAAUCUUCCACUCAUGUGAAGUCUCAUUGCAUGCGAACUUUGUCCAGCUCGCCCGCCAACUUCUGUCCAUAUAUGAGAAGGCAUGCAUGCAAACCACAUAUCUAGCUUGCAUGAAAUCAUAGGCGAGGUAACCCGCCUCUAAUCCCAACAUUAUUCGGGCUCGCCGGUGUGACAUGGACCAUAUAUGAGAAGGCCUGCAUGCGAACCACAUAUCUAGCUUGCAUGAAAUCAUAGGCGAGGUAACCCGUCUCUAAUCCCAACAUUAUUCGGGCUCGCCGGUGUGACAUGGACCAUGAAUUUAACUAAUAUUCACAUAGACAAUUACUGCCCAAUAAAAUAUUAAUUCUAGGUGUAAACAUUACCUAUGCAUACAUGCUAGUAGUUUUGGCAUAUAAUGUUUGAAGAGGUUGUUUCUUCUUAAGGUUGAUUGUAAGGAUGUAUCGAGACUUUUGGAUUAUGUUAGGUUAUGGUUGAACCCCUAUCGGUUCUUGUCCACUGUAAUCGUUAGUGUUUUGGGUAGGUAGGAAGGAGAGUGGGGAAUUUAUUUCUACCACCGACAUCACUCAUGGUUGUAAUAUAUUGUAUUCCCAUUUAAUGAAAUUCUUGAUAUUUUGCCUAAAAAAAAAACAGGGGGAGAGUUACAAAUUUUUUUUUUUUUUUCAUGUAACAAAAAUUCGAAAAUUAUAUAUCCAAGACUAACAGAGAAAACCAUUAAUUUGAUGUUCAAUCUAAUUCUAAUUUUGAUCAUGCCUAGCUAGGGACUACACUCUAUAGCGAUGUGUGUGUCUCCUCAGUCCUCACUACUAAAAGAAGUGAAUCACAAGAAACUUAUCAAGCAACCCAUCAGUUUUUGAUAUCGAUGUUGGCUGAGUUAAUCAUACAGUUAAUUGUAGUUUUAAGGCCAAAUCUUGCAACAUCCGAUUCAACCUCUCUAAAUCCUUGGCCAUAUUCAUCAGAGUCAUGUUCUUCCACCACAAACUUGUAUGUUUCUAUUAACUUCCUCCGAAACUGAGUCUGCUCAUGACUAGUAGUAGUUGUUGAUGAUGAUGAGUUAAUUUCACUCUCCAGCCAAUCCAACCAUUUCCAACCUAUUACUUGACACAUUCCUUCUUCCAGUUUCCUUUCCAGUUUCUCGGGUUCGACACCUUUCGAUCGAAACCAUACAUGCAUCAUCUCAUGAGCCAAGAUUGCCUGUGUCAUAAUCUUGGGUAAACCGAACAAGAUAGCUAUGCCGGUUCUAUACUCCCUUGCCUCUAUCAUCUCUUGCUCCACUACAAUGCUAUUCCCUUUCCUCGAACAACUUGUAACACCAGUGAUGGUGGCCAUAUCAUCCAUAUCAGCCUCUAAUCCCAACCCGAAAAUUGGUUCUUGCUCGCCAGAAAGUCUGGCCAUCUCUAUCGUGUCGACCAAGAAAACACGAACGUCGUCCGGUAGGUCAAUGUCGAGUGUAUGGAAAAAUUCGUGACAUUUAUUGACCAAGAGAGGUUCGCAUUGCCGGAUGUCGAAGAUUGCGGUAGAAUAACAAUCCAGACAUGUUUCCCGACCAUCGCCGAGAUUUAUAUAUGUUACAUCACUCGUCUUUAACCUCAUGCAGCCAAAGCAUAUUGGAGUUCCAUCAUGUAGAUGUUUGGGACAAAAUGUUUGGUUCCAUAUUACGUCACAGCAAACUGGAGUUCCAUCUGGGAAAUGAGUGAGACGAUCCAAGCUGUUGGUAAAAGUAUUAGUACAAACUUCGCAAACCAACCUUGGUUGUCUUGCAGAUAUAGCAACUUCCUGAAUUGCAUGACUUUGCCCUUUUUCAUAUUGUUCUUGAAGGGAAAUUUGCUGAAGGGCAAGCUUUAUAUCCUCGAUUGCUUGAUCUUCAUACAUAGUAUGCUCAAAGUAAUAUUGACAAUUGGGGAGGCGAUUUCAUGAUCCAACCUCUCACCUAGCCUAAUCCUACUUCAAUAUCCUACUCCCCCACAAACUUAAGGGUUUGAAAGCUUGACUAUUGAAAAUCUAAAUAAAGAACCAUUUCAGUGUUUAUAUAGAGUCUAUCUAGUUAUCCAGUUUGAAUAAGGAUUCCAAUGAGGUUUCCUUUCAUUACUUGGUAAGGUUUCCUACUUUGAUUAGUAAGAGAAACAGUCAAAAUCAUGUUCCUUAUUACAAACAAAUUCAACGAAACCUUGUUCGAUCAAACUGGAAAACUAGAUGGAACACCUAACAACUUUCCCUUUUGCUAUCAAAACUUCCCCACAUUUGUCCUUAAGAUUUAUAUAGAGGUAUAAACUAUCUUCUUACCUAGCCUAUUCACAUUCUGUCGAAAAAGUAAAGCUAAGAGCACUAAACUUAUAUCCCCCUUCAACUGUUAGAUAGUCGUAGUCGUAGAGUCGGUGAUGUCACUUUUACAGAACCGUUCAUGAGAUUUUCAGCCAUCGACGUGGUGAAUUCCAGCCGCUCCAAUAUUCAUUGCUUUCAGACAAAUCGUCCAAACACCUCUCUUUCCUACUCACCACUCACCAGUGCCCGGCCGGUGGCCAUUAAUAUACUUACUAUUCUCUCUGAGAAAUAUGUAACCAAUAAUUGUUCAGUACCAGCCGGUCGAUUAGUACGACGGGGAUUCAUGAUUAUUUCAACGAAGCACAAUAUCUUGGUAAUAAAGAACAUUAAAAAGAAGAAGAUCAUGAACUUCAGAAUAAGGCACAAGUGCACAACAUAAGGCUUAAUCAUAACCAAAUCAAAACCAAAUUAACUCUUGUUUUCAUAAUUCGAAAUGUGAAAACUCAUAACCCAAUUUCCAUAACACUACAACAACCUGCCUUUCUCACUAAUCAAAACCGCAAAACAGCAACCUAGUAAAGAGCAAAGAACAUAGCUUUCUCCAUCGGUGAAGACGAACGCAAAGACCCACCAAUGCAACCUUCUUGCUUCUCUCUCGGACUCGAGCAGGGUGAGGGGUCGCUGUCCCGGAGCGGUCCCUUGACGUUCCUAAUGAUGAACCGGUUCUGGUAGACGGUAGUCGAGAAACUUGACCCGAUCGGACUUGGUUCACCUUUCCUGUGGAUCCGGUCCGGCCCAUCACCUUCACUACCAAGUCAUCUGUGUACGACGAUAGAAUAGACUCACUCACUCGCCAACUCCAAGGUUAUUACAUUUCUGUAACAAAAAACUCACAAACUCAAAAGGAAUUCACCUGUAGGUCUUUGCCUCUAUCGGCGCACAACAAGAUCACUGAUCUUGAUCUUGAUCUUCGAUUCUGUCAGCUUCUUUUAUGUCCAGUGCCAUCCUGUCCCCAUUAGAUCUGAAAACAAAGUAACAGUAGUUAGUUAAUUAAAGGAAAAAGAACCAAGAACAUGCAAGACAUUAAGAUCGAUGUAAAAACCCUAAAUAUUGAUCUCUGAUAUCUUCUCGAUCGAUCUCUUCUCUUCUUCAGUCACUCCCAUAUGCUCUCUCACACCUUCUCUCUCUCUCUGUUCAUCACAUAUACACACGAGGAUCAACUCGCGGAUGAUGAACAUAGAGAGAGAAAAAGCGAAAGAAAGC
RNAcentral lists this long non-coding RNA (16292 nucleotides) under Fragaria vesca (wild strawberry). RNAcentral's name for it is "long non-coding RNA (FVES_LNC001340)". Lineage: Eukaryota; Viridiplantae; Streptophyta; Magnoliopsida; Rosales; Rosaceae. The record is from RNAcentral.